RNAcentral lists this ribosomal RNA (301 nucleotides) under uncultured bacterium. RNAcentral's name for it is "partial 16S ribosomal RNA". It matches the Rfam family "Bacterial small subunit ribosomal RNA", at positions 509 to 807 of the family's 1533-position model. The record is from RNAcentral.
CAGUAGCCGCGGUAAUACCGAGGGUGCGAGCGUUAAUCGGAUUUACUGGGCGUAAAGCGUGCGUAGGCGGCUAAUUGAGUCGGAUGUGAAAUCCCCGAGCUUAACUUGGGAAUUGCAUUCGAUACUGGUUAGCUAGAGUGUGGGAGAGGAUGGUAGAAUUCCAGGUGUAGCGGUGAAAUGCGUAGAGAUCUGGAGGAAUACCGAUGGCGAAGGCAGCCAUCUGGCCUAACACUGACGCUGAGGUACGAAAGCAUGGGGAGCAAACAGGAUUAGAUACCCCCGUAGUCCCUGUCUCUUAUAC